RNAcentral lists this ribosomal RNA (288 nucleotides) under uncultured bacterium. RNAcentral describes it as "partial 16S ribosomal RNA". It matches the Rfam family "Bacterial small subunit ribosomal RNA", at positions 335 to 641 of the family's 1533-position model. The record is from RNAcentral.
GUCCUACGGGGCGCAGCAGUGGGGAAUAUUGCACAAUGGGGGAAACCCUGAUGCAGCGACGCCGCGUGAUCGAUGAAGUAUUUUGGUAUGUAAAGCUCUAUCAGCAGGGAAGAAAAUGACGGUACCUGACUAAGAAGCCCCGGCUAACUACGUGCCAGCAGCCGCGGUAAUACGUAGGGGGCAAGCGUUAUCCGGAUUUACUGGGUGUAAAGGGAGCGUAGACGGUUCUGCAAGCCAGAUGUGAAAGCCCUGGGCUCAACCCCGGGACUACGUUUGGAACUGAAAGGC